GGCUGACAUCAUAUUGGUCAUAAUACAAUCAGUGUUCCAUCUGCCUGCCGACUCAAAUUCCUGCAGCAACUUCUGCUUUUCUGAAGAGAAUGGAGCAAAACACGAGCCUGUGUAAGGAAAGUGGAAACCCAUCAGCAAAGGAUGUUUCCAAGCACAAACAUAAAUGUGCUUGGAGAGACCCUGAUGUAUCCUUUUAAUGACUAGCUGUAACUCACUGCUUUUACUUUUACUUUAGUAAAAAAAGGGGGGUACUAAACCAGGGCAAGUGGCAGGAACAGCUGAAAACAUACUUGCCCACUCUCCCUACGACCACCUAAGGGCUAUGAACAUCUGGAACAAUCUGAAGCAGAGGGAAAGUGGGUACAUGCUAAUGUUUUUCAGUGAUGUAUUCCGCUUUUUAUUACCAUGGAACUUUUGAGACCGGGAUGUGUUCCUUCACAAACAGUGGUUGCUAUAUUGGAAAUGGGUCACAUUAUUUGAGAUCUGGAAUGAUUUGUGUAAUGCUAAUCCAAGGGGGUUUAAACUUACUAAGUGUUCUUGGCAAUGUAUAAGAACCUAUGAGCCAUCAUCUGAUCUGGGAUUUCUCUUUUCUCUUUUUGGGAGUGGGUGGUGGUGGAGGAGUUAGGAAGAGGCAGUUUUGCACCUAUAGGAUGCUUGGAGAUCAUUCCCCUGCACAGAACCGUGUUGUCAGCCACAGAUCUCUUUCCAAUUUCCACGCUUCAAUCCUGUCUAUGUUUGCCAUCACAUUGGCUGAGUAUUUAAUCUCUUUGCUCUCCAGAAAACAGCUCUUUGUCUCUGUCUGUACCGUACAACAGAAGCAAGUAGCAGGAUUGGAGAUGACGAAAAGACCCUUAAGAAGAGCAUGGGUAGGACAUUACAGAAAUAGGUCCCUUCUUUUUUUCCAAUGAUAUGUUAUUCAGUGUCAACAUUAAUACCAUAUACAGUCAAAAAACACAACUUCGUCUUUUCUCUUAUUUUUGUCGACUUUCCACCCAUUUUCCUAUGGAGUUGUUGUUUCUCUUCUUCUGAUGCACCCUGUCUUCUACCUACCAAAUCGUAACAAUAUUAUAAUCUGAUUACUUCUGUUGCUUAUAGCUCUAAUCCUGCUCACAAGUUCAUCAUUACUAUUUCUUGAAAUAGUUCAAAAAAGGCAUCCAUUCUUCCAUAAAACAUGCAUUCUCUUAAAAAGCCCAUUCUCUUAAUUUUGCUGUUACUUAACACCCCCCCCCCAAAAAAGGUCCCUUCUGAUACCUGGGUUCCAAGCCAUCUAGGGCUUUAUAUGCCAGAAUCGAAACCUUGAAUUGGGCUUGGUAGCAAACUGGCAGCCAGCAGAAAUCAUGUGGUCUCCUACAAACAAGACAGUCUCUAUAACCUGGCAGCAAUAUUUUGUUCUAGCUGCCAUAUCUCAGCUGUAGUCAAGGGCAGCCCUAUGCAAAAUGCAUUGCAGCAGAAUAAUUGGGAGAUGACUAAAUGAUGGAUUACUGUGGCCAGUUAUCGCUGUCCAAGAAUAGCCAUAGCUGGUGAUGCAGCUGGAGUUGGAAAUAGUUGCUCUGUGCAAUUGGUGGCACUUGGGCUUCUAGGGACAGAGUAGAAGCAAGAAGCGUGCCCAGCCUGCAAACCUCAUUCUUCCGGGGGAAUGCCAUCCCAUCCCAUCCAGGACAGGCUAACUAAUUCAUGGACCCAGAAUGGCCAUAGGAUAACAGCCAGAGUGCCGUAACGAAACUGAGCUAUGCACAUGCAACAGUGAAUGCAUCCUUUUAUUUAAAAACACACAGGCCUCCCAUUCAUAAAUAGUUUGACAGGGAUAAGGCUGACUAGAAGGCUUUCCCUGAUAUACUGGUUUUUUUUAAUAUAGAAUAUUUUUCUCUAUAUAGGGAAUAUUCAAACACAAACUCCUAUAUUUGCAGCCUGUUAUGGUAUAACCCACCAAGAGGCAAUUUAAAACUGCUCUAAGAGGGUACGCUUUCACUAACAAGAAAUGUGGGAGAGAGACACGAAUAUAAAAGCCUUUUUUAAUUUUAAUAGAAUAUCUUUUAGCCAAUAAUGUGAGGUCAAUCUGUAAUGGGAGACUAUUGAAUAAAGCAGACAGGCAUAAAGAUUUGACUAUCAGUCUUAAUGAUGGCACAUUGUCAGCUUCAGAAGCCAUAAUGUACUCUGGCCUUUCUCUCCCUGCUUUAAUGCAAACGUUCAUUCAUAUCAGCUCGCCGUGUCAAACUACACGGCAAUUUAGUCCCUUACUUCAUGGGUACACUAUUGAACAGAACUGACUUGCCAGACCAGAAAAUAUAUGUUUUAUUUAUUUACGUUGUAGAUUUAUGCACUGCUCUUUAGUAUAAAUAUUUCCAGAGUGGUCCUUCCAGUGCAGUAUUACGUUUCCAACAGUAGCCAGAUGAAGGUCCUUCACAGCCUACAAAGAGAACAUCAUAAUGAUAAUCAUCACCUCUUGUUUAUUAUUUCUGCCCCAUAAUUCUGGCAGCUAGCACAACCAGACGCCGUCCUCUACCCCAGCUGCAACAAAACAUGUCUCUCCCGUAUCGGUCUCUACAGCCACUGCAAGCGCUGUAACCUUCCAACAGUUUGACUUUACCCCACAAAAUGCACUCCUCCAUUGUCUCCCGAGACAGACGGAUGCCAACCAAACAUAUUACCUUAGCUCACAAAGGCUCCAUUUCGCUACGAUGGCAAAUAAGUGAUAACACUACAGAUAGGGAAUCGUAGAAUUGAGAACUGAGAUUCUUACAUUGCAGAGGGUCAUCUAGUCCAACCAAAAGCAUCCAUGACAGAUGACCAUCCAAUCUCUGCUUUAAAAAAUCCCAAAAAAGGAGAGUCCAUCGCUGUCAAAUGGCUCUUACCAUCAGAAAAUUCUACUUUGUGUUUAGUGAGUUGUGGGACAGUCAAGUUUCCAGCUGCAUUUGUUUGUUCCUUUGCCUUUAACAGCAGCCAGAAACAAAUAAAUGAAGAGGGUGAAUAUUUUCCUGGCAGAGAGAUAAAGGAUUGAGGAAAAGAAAUACCACAAUUUCUGAGAGUUUGCCAGUUUGGAUAAGAUGCCCCUAACUUUUCCACUUCCUUCUGGAGCCAAUGCUCAGUUAAUGCCUUAUUUUGCAGGUUAACUUUUCUUACAGGUAUGCGGGCGCUGCUACAUUAAGGUCGCUGUCAAAGGGCCGGAAAGGAAUUUCCCUGCAUUGGCAGGUUUCGCCUUUCCCGUAGCAAAACGUCACAACUUUGGCGGUAUCAGGCUUUGGGCGGAAUCCUUUUCUCCAUCUUCCUCUUUGCAGCGGUGAUACCAGGGUUCCCCGUUAAAGGGGUUUCUGAAGGGAGGCUUUGACCGUAUGCCAAAAGGUCGUCAUUGCUCUCCCCCCGGCGGCGGUGUAACGGGGGCGGCUAUCUCUGCUUGAACAUAUGUUCUCCAGAGCCGGCCCAUCCCCCACACAAACACUGGAUAACCCUGAUGCUCCCUAGGUCCCCGGCUGGGGACUGGGGAGGGAGAACGCCCAAUGCCUGAGCCAAGGUCUAC
Molecule: long non-coding RNA, 3514 nt
Filed under: Podarcis lilfordi (Lilford's wall lizard)
Lineage: Eukaryota; Metazoa; Chordata; Lepidosauria; Squamata; Lacertidae
Source: RNAcentral